CACAUUUUUCUCAAUUCUUUUAGACCAAAGAAGGAAACCUGAACAAAACUGGAGCUAAUAAUAUGAUUAAGAAGGACCACAUGCGCUAGCACAGCAGAUUCUUGGCUGAGGGCCCUGGUUAAAGGAAGAAUCUUCGAAGUCAUCAAUUUUAAUGAGCACUGUGAGUAUCCCAGUAAACUAGAUCCCUUUAUUUCUGUUUGCUUGACAAAGAAACUUGAUACAUCCAAGACAUUUAUUCUUUAUUCAGUUCAGC
RNAcentral lists this long non-coding RNA (253 nucleotides) under Mus musculus (house mouse). RNAcentral's name for it is "predicted gene, 47769". The record is from RNAcentral. Lineage: Eukaryota; Metazoa; Chordata; Mammalia; Rodentia; Muridae.